GCAAAGUAGUCAUGAAAUGUGUUAUGUUGUUUUUUUUUACCCUCCCUUUUCCCCGGACGGGUUGUGAUUUCAGGGCACUCGACGACGUUUUCUUGGGGAUCAUUUUCUGGCGACACCAUCACGAAAUUGCCUAUCCUUAACGUCGCAUAUUGAGAUUAAGGGCCUCUCGUUAACACGGUCGAACUCGUCCCCGGCUCGCGUCGCGUUAGAAGAAGCAUCGUAUCAACUCGACCUCUCUCGAGGGGGUGAGCUAGUCGGAGGCUUUGCAGAAAAGCGGAACAAAACACAAACAAGCCCGGUUGGCCUCUCUGGGGCGGCCGCACAAUUCGCGAAACUGCGUGCAUUUCUCGAUUAAAACAACAUUUGCCCGCUGUGUUAGUCAAAUUGGUAUUCGUCGGGAAAUAUAAUGCAACACUCGGUAACAUAAAGGACUCAAAUGAACCCAAAAAUACCCGACGAUCCGAAAGCAACGCUUUGUUGACGUCAGUGUGUCGUGAGGGCAUCCGAAUUUCUCUGUCAAUGAGCGCGUUCUUCAUAUUCGUGUUGUCUAAAACGCCCUUAAAACAACAGUGAGGCCGACAUUGAAUGUAAACUGUUCGUUGUGAGCUUAGCAUGCACAUCCUGAGGUGUGCCAACGGCUGUUUACAACCCGGUACCACAUCCCUAACCCGAUUCCGGACGUCGAUACUGCGAUAUUUUUGAAUAGCCGACGAGACGUAAUUAUCCCCCCCCCCCCAAAAAAAAAUGUAUACAUGUCGUUUCCCCUAAAAUAUCAACUAAUCAUCACAGCCAGGAUUGGAGUCGCCGAAUAAGUCAUGCGUGACAAAAUGCUAGAUUUUGUUUUUCUUCAUUGUAUCACAAUUUUUUUUUAAUGAAAGUGUCACUUCUACUUUUGACUUUUUGAAUGGCAGAAGGACUGACGAACGCUCGCUUCCCUGUUUUGGCGUUGCGAAAUGUGCGCACGCACUAGAUAGUUUCCACACUGACUGCACUUGUGUGUAUCGCUGGUUCCUGAGCUCCAAUACUGUGUGUGAAUAGCAAAAAGCUUUU
This is a long non-coding RNA of Hippocampus comes (tiger tail seahorse), 1050 nucleotides long. RefSeq lists it as uncharacterized. The transcript is spliced from 2 exons. NCBI's taxonomy places the organism in Eukaryota, Metazoa, Chordata, Actinopteri, Syngnathiformes, Syngnathidae. The record is from RefSeq and is a predicted model, not a curated record.